AGAGUUUGAUCCUGGCUCAGGAUGAACGCUAGCGGGAGGCUUAACACAUGCAAGUCGAACGGUAACAGGUCCUUCGGGACGCUGACGAGUGGCGCACGGGUGAGUAACGCGUAUGCAACCUGCCCUGUACAGGGGGAUAGCCCGGAGAAAUCCGGAUUAAUACCCCAUAGUUUUUAUGAGUCGCAUGGCUUAUAAAAUAAAGCUUCGGCGGUACAGGAUGGACAUGCGUGGCAUUAGCUUGUUGGUAGGGUAACGGCUUACCAAGCGACGAUGCCUAGGGGUUCUGAGAGGAUGAUCCCCCACACUGGGACUGAGACACGGCCCAGACUCCUACGGGAGGCAGCAGUGAGGAAUAUUGGUCAAUGGGCGAGAGCCUGAACCAGCCAUCCCGCGUGCAGGAUGACGGCCCUACGGGUUGUAAACUGCUUUUAUGUACCAAGAAUAGGCGCUACGUGUAGCGUUAUGACGGUAGUACAUGAAUAAGCAUCGGCUAACUCCGUGCCAGCAGCCGCGGUAAUACGGAGGAUGCAAGCGUUAUCCGGAUUCAUUGGGUUUAAAGGGUGCGUAGGCGGCUAUAUAAGUCAGUGGUGAAAUGCUGCAGCUCAACUGUAGAACUGCCAUUGAAACUGUAUAGCUUGAGUGCGCCUGAGGUAGGCGGAAUGAGUAGUGUAGCGGUGAAAUGCUUAGAUAUUACUCAGAACACCGAUUGCGAAGGCAGCUUACUAAAGCGUAACUGACGCUGAUGCACGAAAGCGUGGGGAGCGAACAGGAUUAGAUACCCUGGUAGUCCACGCCGUAAACGAUGAUAACUCGCUGUUGGCGAUACACAGUCAGCGGCUAAGCGAAAGCAUUAAGUUAUCCACCUGGGGAGUACGAUCGCAAGGUUGAAACUCAAAGGAAUUGACGGGGGCCCGCACAAGCGGAGGAACAUGUGGUUUAAUUCGAUGAUACGCGAGGAACCUUACCUGGGCUUAAAUGUGGAUUGACCGUUGCCGAAAGGUGACUUCCCUUCGGGGCAAUUUACAAGGUGCUGCAUGGUUGUCGUCAGCUCGUGCCGUGAGGUGUCGGGUUAAGUCCCAUAACGAGCGCAACCCUUAUCGUCAGUUGCUAACAGGUUAAGCUGAGGACUCUGGCGAGACUGCCACCGUAAGGUGAGAGGAAGGUGGGGAUGACGUCAAAUCAGCACGGCCCUUAUGUCCAGGGCUACACACGUGUUACAAUGGUCGGUACAAAGGGCAGCUACUUGGCAACAAGAUGCUAAUCCCAAAAGCCGGUCUCAGUUCGGAUUGGAGUCUGCAACCCGACUCCAUGAAGCUGGAUUCGCUAGUAAUCGCGCAUCAGCCAUGGCGCGGUGAAUACGUUCCCGGGCCUUGUACACACCGCCCGUCAAACCAUGGAAGCUUGGGGGACCUGAAGUCUGCAACCGCAAGGAGCGGCCUAGGGUAAAACAAGUGACUGGGGUUAAGUCGUAACAAGGUAGCCGUACCGGAAGGUGUGGCUG
This 1501-nucleotide ribosomal RNA is filed under the name Prolixibacter bellariivorans JCM 13498. Its description in RNAcentral is "bacterial SSU rRNA". It matches the Rfam family "Bacterial small subunit ribosomal RNA". The record is from RNAcentral. Lineage: Bacteria; Pseudomonadati; Bacteroidota; Bacteroidia; Marinilabiliales; Prolixibacteraceae.